UUGGGGACCUCACCCUGAAAAUUUGGGGACUUCUCCUUGAAAAUUUGGGGACUUCUCCCCAAAAAUUUGGGGGCUUCUCCCUGAAAAUUCGGGGACCUCACACCCAAAAAUUGGGGGUUUUUCCCCAAGAGACUGGGGAAACCCCAAAAGUGUGGGGAUGAGCCUUGGGGUAUGAAGGGGCUGGGGAAAACCCAAAAUGGGGGUGUCAGGAAUCCACGAGGGACACCCCAAAAAUUGGAGACCCCCCCUUUGGGGGUGUAGGUGGAAUGGGGACCCCAAAAUGGGGACACCCCAAAAAGGGGACUUAUUGGGGGUACAGCUGGAAUGGGGACACCCGAAAACGGUUACACCCCAAAAUGGGGUCCCGUGGGGUACGGACAUACCGGGGACACCCCAAAAAUGGGGGUCACCCCCAUAGGGGUACCCCUAGAAGGGGGUCACCCCAUAAUGGGGACUCUGGGUACACGUGGUCUGGGGACACCCCGAAAUGUGGGCCCUCCUGGGGGGACAGAGAGAAAGGGGACACCCCAAAAGGGGGGACACCCCAAAAUGGAGUCACCCCAAAAGCGGGGGACCCCAAAAGGGGGGGCCCCAAAAUGAUGUCCCAUGGGGGUACAUGGGGACACCCCAAAAAUGGGAGACCCCAAGGGGUACGGACACACUCGAGGGAACCCCCUGGGGAUCCAGGGGCACCGGGGUCACCCCAAAAAGGGGUCCCCGGGGGUGACACCCCAAAAUUAGGGCACCCCAAUAAGGGGACCCCCCAAAAUGGGGCCCCCUGGGGGGUAUCCCCAGAGCGGGGACCCCCCAAAGUGGGGUUCCCCUGGGGGUACGGACACCAUGGGGGCACCCCAAAAAGCGGGGACCCCCGCUGGGGACCCCCAGAGCAGGGGGACCCCAAAAUGUCCCCCCCCCCCCCCCCCAAUGGGGUCAUGGCCCGGUCUCCCCUAUAUCAAUAAAGCGUGUCUGCCCCGCCUCCUCUCGUUCCCUAUUGGCUCGCGCGCACGCCAAUCCGCUCUGCCCCCGGGCGUGAUUGGGUAAGAGGGUGGUGGUGGGCGGGGCACGCCCCCCAGCGGGAGCUGCGGCUGUGAUUGGUCGCCGCCGGGCACGCGGUGGGCGCGCCUCUCUGUUGCUUAGCCAGCCCAUGAUUGGCUAACAGGACAAGCAGGGAGGGCGGGGUUAGCCUUCAUCUCGCUCUCUGAUUGGCUAGCGAAGCUGUCAGCACAGCGCGAGGCAGGAGGCGAGCCCAACCGCAAUCCACAGCCGGGAGGGCGGGAUUUAGCGAGGCUCUGCGAGCGCUGAUUGGUCGCCGCGCGUUCUUCCGGCGGAAGCGGCGCCUGAGGCGAGGG
RNAcentral lists this long non-coding RNA (1349 nucleotides) under Anas platyrhynchos platyrhynchos (common mallard). Its description in RNAcentral is "lncRNA (ENSAPLG00000022132.1)". The record is from RNAcentral. Lineage: Eukaryota; Metazoa; Chordata; Aves; Anseriformes; Anatidae.